AACGCACCUUGCGCUCCUUGGUAUUCCGAGGAGCAUGCCUGUUUGAGUGUCAUGAAACUCUCAACCAUCAACUUUUUUAUUAAGGCUGAUGGCUUGGACUUGAGCGCUGCUGGUUUUUACUAACCGGCUCGCUUGAAAUGAAUUAGCAGAUCCUUUUUGUAAUCGGUUCCACUCGACGUGAUAAGUAUUUCGCCGAGGACAUACGAAAGUAUGGCCGAGAUAAAGAAAGUCUUUAGAUCCGCUUCUAAUUCUUAGAUAGAGCUUGCUCUACUAAACCCCAUUUUAUGAUCUGGCCUCAAAUCAGGUAGGACUACCCGCUGAACUUAA
RNAcentral lists this unclassified non-coding RNA (327 nucleotides) under uncultured Mrakia. RNAcentral's name for it is "sequence contains ITS2". The stretch from base 1 to 52 matches the Rfam family "5.8S ribosomal RNA", at positions 103 to 154 of the family's 154-position model. The record is from RNAcentral. Lineage: Eukaryota; Fungi; Basidiomycota; Tremellomycetes; Cystofilobasidiales; Cystofilobasidiaceae.